UUCCGGUUGAUCCUGCCGGAGGUCAUUGCUAUUGGAGUCCGAUUAAGCCAUGCUAGUCGCACGGGUUUAGACCCGUGGCGGACAGCUCAGUAACACGUGGCCAAACUACCCUGUAGAUCGGUACAAUCUCGGGAAACUGAGGGUAAUGCCGAAUACGACUCGCCAUCUGGAAUGAGGGGAGUCGGAAAUGCUCCGGCGCUACAGGAUGUGGCUGCGGCCGAUUAGGUAGACGGUGGGGUAACGGCCCACCGUGCCGAUAAUCGGUACGGGUUGUGAGAGCAAGAGCCCGGAGAUGGAUUCUGAGACAAGAAUCCAGGCCCUACGGGGCGCAGCAGGCGCGAAACCUUUACACUGCACGAAAGUGCGAUAAGGGGACUCCAAGUGCGAGGGCAUACAGUCCUCGCUUUUGUACACCGUAAGGAGGUGUACGAAUAAGAGCUGGGCAAGACCGGUGCCAGCCGCCGCGGUAAUACCGGCAGCUCAAGUGAUGACCGCUAUUAUUGGGCCUAAAGCGUCCGUAGCCGGCCGAACAGGUCCGUUGGGAAAUCUGCUCGCUUAACGAGCAGGCGUCCAGCGGAAACCAGUCGGCUUGGGACCGGAAGACCCGAGGGGUACGUCUGGGGUAGGAGUGAAAUCCUGUAAUCCUGGACGGACCGUCGGUGGCGAAAGCGCCUCGGGAGGACGGAUCCGACGGUGAGGGACGAAAGCUAGGGUCACGAACCGGAUUAGAUACCCGGGUAGUCCUAGCCGUAAACGAUGCUCGCUAGGUGUGGCGCUGGCUACGAGCCAGCGCUGUGCCGUAGGGAAGCCGUGAAGCGAGCCGCCUGGGAAGUACGUCCGCAAGGAUGAAACUUAAAGGAAUUGGCGGGGGAGCACUACAACCGGAGGAGCCUGCGGUUUAAUUGGAUUCAACGCCGGA
RNAcentral lists this ribosomal RNA (919 nucleotides) under uncultured archaeon. Its description in RNAcentral is "bacterial SSU rRNA". It matches the Rfam family "Archaeal small subunit ribosomal RNA", at positions 1 to 922 of the family's 1478-position model. The record is from RNAcentral.